CAGUGCCGAACACAUGCAAGUCGAACGAAGGCUUCGGCCUUAGUGGCGCACGGGUGCGUAACGCGUGGGAAUCUGCCCUUGGGUUCGGAAUAACAGUUAGAAAUGACUGCUAAUACCGGAUGAUGACGUAAGUCCAAAGAUUUAUCGCCCAAGGAUGAGCCCGCGUAGGAUUAGCUAGUUGGUGAGGUAAAGGCUCACCAAGGCGACGAUCCUUAGCUGGUCUGAGAGGAUGAUCAGCCACACUGGGACUGAGACACGGCCCAGACUCCUACGGGAGGCAGCAGUGGGGAAUAUUGGACAAUGGGCGAAAGCCUGAUCCAGCAAUGCCGCGUGAGUGAUGAAGGCCUUAGGGUUGUAAAGCUCUUUUACCCGGGAUGAUAAUGACAGUACCGGGAGAAUAAGCCCCGGCUAACUCCGUGCCAGCAGCCGCGGUAAU
Molecule: ribosomal RNA, 436 nt
Filed under: uncultured bacterium
Lineage: Bacteria
Description: bacterial SSU rRNA
Rfam family: Bacterial small subunit ribosomal RNA
Source: RNAcentral